Nomascus leucogenys (northern white-cheeked gibbon) is the source of this 105-nucleotide small nuclear RNA. The record is from RefSeq and is a predicted model, not a curated record. Lineage: Eukaryota; Metazoa; Chordata; Mammalia; Primates; Hylobatidae.
GCUGCCUUUGGCAGCACACAUACUAAAAGUGGAACGAUACAGAGAAGAUUAGCAUGGCCCCUGUGCAAGGAUGACAUGCAAAUUCAUGAAGUGUUCCGUGUUUUU